GACGAACGCUGGCGGCGCGCCUAACACAUGCAAGUCGAACGAGAGAUGAGGAGCUUGCUCUUCAAAUCGAGUGGCGAACGGGUGAGUAACGCGUGAGGAACCUGCCUCAAAGAGGGGGACAACAGUUGGAAACGACUGCUAAUACCGCAUAAGCCCACGGCUCGGCAUCGAGCAGAGGGAAAAGGAGCAAUCCGCUUUGAGAUGGCCUCGCGUCCGAUUAGCUAGUUGGUGAGGUAACGGCCCACCAAGGCGACGAUCGGUAGCCGGACUGAGAGGUUGAACGGCCACAUUGGGACUGAGACACGGCCCAGACUCCUACGGGAGGCAGCAGUGGGGAAUAUUGCACAAUGGGGGAAACCCUGAUGCAGCGACGCCGCGUGGAGGAAGAAGGUCUUCGGAUUGUAAACUCCUGUUGUUGAGGAAGAUAAUGACGGUACUCAACAAG
This 445-nucleotide ribosomal RNA is filed under the name uncultured bacterium. RNAcentral describes it as "bacterial SSU rRNA". It matches the Rfam family "Bacterial small subunit ribosomal RNA", at positions 28 to 486 of the family's 1533-position model. The record is from RNAcentral.